Molecule: long non-coding RNA, 1311 nt
Organism: Mauremys reevesii (Reeves's turtle)
Lineage: Eukaryota; Metazoa; Chordata; Testudines; Geoemydidae
Exons: 7
Source: RefSeq, a predicted model, not a curated record
GGCUUUAGAUCUUAGCUGAGCACGGACAAAUUCAUUGCUGGAAAGCAGCCUGUUUCACCUGUGUGUUAGUAUGGUUAAGAUGAGUACUGAACUUAUAACAAUGUGUUUACAGCAUUUAGACUUUAAUGCAUGUGGCAGUUCAUAAGAAGUUCACAAUCUCACUUAUAAUAUCUUCAUCACCUACUACAAGGAUAUUUUUUUUAAUCUAUUUAUUUAACUGAGCUUGGUUAAUCAGUUAGCUGACUGGCUAACAGUGAUUUCAGCAGAGGAAGAGUCUGCAUGGAUUCCAACUGAAGAUUCCUACAAGCAAGUGGAGGAAAGAUGCAGCUUUUGACUGCAUAGAUUUGGUGGUCGAAGACUCCAACUCAGGACUUGAAUGUGGGGAGGUUGACCCUGUGCAAUCCUUGCUGAAAAUCCUUAGAGACUGAAUUCUGGGUCUUCUGCUUCUUUUCUAUGGGAGUUGGGGGAGAGGCGGGGGUUAGGCACUGGAGAAGGGCAAUGAAGUGAACUCUAGCCCACCCAAAGGUUACACCUGCCAUAUAGACCUUACACUCUUACUUAAGACAAGAGAGAAUAUGUGAAUGUUUUUGUAACAUAGCUUGCCCUAUGGCCUGGAGAGCCUGGGACAAAGCCAGUCCUGAUUACAGGAUGAGCCCCACCUGAGCAGAACCAGGUGAUUCCAAUACAAAAGGAGCAAGAAGUUGCAGUGAAGGGGGAAAACCCAGGAAACUUCAGCUAUGUCUGGAGGGAAUAAGAAGACUCCUACAGGACCCUGAGUCAGCAGGGGAGAAGCUCAGGAAGCAGGAGCUAGUGAAGAAAGCUCCAGGCAAGGAGUCUCUAAGGUGCCACAAGUACUCCUUUUCUUCGGAAAAGGGACAAGGUCCCGAGAUCAGAGCUGAUUGACUUCAACACCCUGCCAAUUAUACUGUUCAGAAGCUGGAGUCCCUGGAUGACGACCUGUUCCUGAAUGGCCAGCAGGAAAAGUUCAUCUACCUUGUUGGGAGUGGAGAACCAGGAAGCAGCAGGAACAAAUUAACUCUUACAAAUGAUCCAGAUUUACGAUCUAGCAAUAACCAGAUUAAUAUCAGAAGCACAGGCAACCUCUUCAAGAAACCCAGAAGGAAUUUGCUUGGCAAUUAAUCUAUCCACUUCUGUGGUUAGACUGUAUUUUCUUCUCCUCUAUCUCUCCUUCACAUGGAUGUGUCCAAGAUACAUUAUCUAAGAAGGAAACAUUUCUAUAACACCUUUCAUCUGAAGAUUUCAAAUUGUGGUAGAAAUAUUCCUUAAGCCUCACAAGACCAUAUGAGACAG